GGGGCGGUAGCUCAGCUGGGAGAGCGCUGCAAUCGCACUGCAGAGGUCAGGGGUUCGAUCCCCCUCCGCUCCA
RNAcentral lists this transfer RNA (73 nucleotides) under Gemmatimonadota bacterium. RNAcentral's name for it is "Gemmatimonadetes bacterium (bioreactor metagenome) tRNA-Ala". It matches the Rfam family "tRNA". Rfam says of the family: Transfer RNA (tRNA) molecules are approximately 80 nucleotides in length. Their secondary structure includes four short double-helical elements and three loops (D, anti-codon, and T loops). Further hydrogen bonds mediate the characteristic L-shaped molecular structure. tRNAs have two regions of fundamental functional importance: the anti-codon, which is responsible for specific mRNA codon recognition, and the 3' end, to which the tRNAs corresponding amino acid is attached (by aminoacyl-tRNA synthetases). tRNAs cope with the degeneracy of the genetic code in two manners: having more than one tRNA (with a specific anti-codon) for a particular amino acid; and 'wobble' base-pairing, i.e. permitting non-standard base-pairing at the 3rd anti-codon position. RNAcentral also lists the same sequence under 1 other name. The record is from RNAcentral. Lineage: Bacteria; Pseudomonadati; Gemmatimonadota.